This 58-nucleotide transfer RNA is filed under the name Salmo salar (Atlantic salmon). It matches the Rfam family "tRNA", at positions 8 to 63 of the family's 71-position model. From Rfam's summary of the family: Transfer RNA (tRNA) molecules are approximately 80 nucleotides in length. Their secondary structure includes four short double-helical elements and three loops (D, anti-codon, and T loops). Lineage: Eukaryota; Metazoa; Chordata; Actinopteri; Salmoniformes; Salmonidae. The record is from Rfam by way of RNAcentral.
UGGCUCAUUUGGUAGAGCGUGGUGUUUGCAACACCAGGGUUGUGGAUUCAAUUCCCAC